GCCUUAGUAACGGCGAGUGAAGCGGCAAAAGCUCAGAUUUUAAAUCCACUGUCUUUUGGACAUUCGAGUUGUAAUCUGUAGAGAAGUGUUCGAGGAGUGUCUCGGCUUAAGUUCCUUGGAAUAGGAUAUCAUGGAGGGUGAGAAUCCCGUGAAUGGCCUUGAAUGUGACUUCUUAUUGUGAACCUUUUUCAGCGAGUCGAGUUGUUUGGGAAUGCAGCUCUAAAUGGGUGGUAAAUUUCAUCUAAAGCUAAAUACUGGCAGGAGACCGAUAGCGCACAAGUAGAGUGAUCGAAAGAUGAAAAGAACUUUGGAAAGAGAGUUAAAGAGUACGUGAAAUUGUUGAAAGGGAAGCACUUGCUCCCAGACUUGCCUGUAGCUAAUCAACCAUCAUUUGUUUUUGUUGGUGCACUUGGCUAUUUUGGGCAGGCCAGCAUCAGUUUAGACAGAGGGAAAAGGCCUAGGGGAAUGUGGCUCUCAUUUGAGGGAGUGUUAUAGCCUCUGGUGUGUAAUAUCUCUAGUCCUGGACUGAGGACCGCGCAUUUGUAAAAAGGUGAGGAUGCUGGCGUAAUGGUCGUAAGUGACCCGUCUUGAAACACGGACCAAGGAGUCUAACAGCUGUGCGAGUGUUUGGGUGAUUAAACCCUUGCGCGGAAUGAAAGUGAAUGGAGGUGGGAACCUGUAAA
Molecule: ribosomal RNA, 683 nt
Filed under: Ionopezia gerardii
Lineage: Eukaryota; Fungi; Ascomycota; Pezizomycetes; Pezizales; Pezizaceae
Description: Peziza gerardii partial large subunit ribosomal RNA
Rfam family: Eukaryotic large subunit ribosomal RNA
Source: RNAcentral